GAACGCGAAGAACCUUACCAAGGCUUGACAUAUACUGGACCGCAUCAGAGAUGGUGUUUCCCUUCGGGGCUGGUAUACAGGUGGUGCAUGGUUGUCGUCAGCUCGUGUCGUGAGAUAUUGGGUUAAGUCCCGCAACGAGCGCAACCCUCGUUCUAUGUUGCCAGCACGUUAUGGUGGGGACUCAUAGGAGACUGCCGGGGUCAACUCGGAGGAAGGUGGGGAUGACGUCAAAUCAUCAUGCCCCUUAUGUCUUGGGCUUCACGCAUGCUACAAUGGCCGGUACAGAGGGUUGCGAUACUGUGAGGUGGAGCUAAUCCCUAAAAGCCGGUCUCAGUUCGGAUUGGGGUCUGCAACUCGACCCCAUGAAGUCGGAGUCGCUAGUAAUCGCAGAUCAGCAACGCUGCGGUGAAUACGUUCCCGGGUCUUGUACACACC
Molecule: ribosomal RNA, 435 nt
Filed under: uncultured bacterium
Lineage: Bacteria
Description: bacterial SSU rRNA
Rfam family: Bacterial small subunit ribosomal RNA
Source: RNAcentral